This 242-nucleotide ribosomal RNA is filed under the name uncultured Bacteroidota bacterium. RNAcentral's name for it is "uncultured Bacteroidetes bacterium partial 16S ribosomal RNA". It matches the Rfam family "Bacterial small subunit ribosomal RNA", at positions 796 to 1041 of the family's 1533-position model. The record is from RNAcentral. Lineage: Bacteria; Pseudomonadati; Bacteroidota.
CACGCCCUAAACGAUGAUCACUCGCUGUUGGCGAUAUAUUGUCAGUGGCUAAGCAAAAGUGAUAAGUGAUCCACCUGGGGAGUACGACCGCAAGGUUGAAACUCAAAGGAAUUGACGGGGGCCCGCACAAGCGGAGGAGCAUGUGGUUUAAUUCGAUGAUACGCGAGGAACCUUACCAGGGCUCGAACGCAGGAGGAAUACUCCCGAAAGGAAGUAGCCAGAAAUGGCCGCCUGCGAGGUGC